AGGAAUUGACGGGGCCCCGCACAAGCGGCGGAGCCUGCGGAAUAAUUCGAUGCAACGCGUAGAACCUUACCAGGGUGUGACAUGGAUCGGGAGUGCUCAGAGAUGGGUGUGCCUCUUUUGGGGUCGGUUCACAGGUGGUGCAUGGCUGUCGUCAGCUCGUGUCGUGAGAUGUUGGGUUAAGUCCCGCAACGAGCGCAACCCUUGUUCACUGUUGCCAGCACGUUAUGGUGGGGACUCAGUGGAGACCGCCGGGGUCAACUCGGAGGAAGGUGGGGAUGACGUCAAGUCAUCAUGCCCCUUAUGUCCAGGGCUUCACGCAUGCUACAAUGGCUGGUACAGAGAGUGGCGAGCCUGUGAGGGUGAGCGAAUCUCGGAAAGCCGGUCUCAGUUCGGAUUGGGGUCUGCAACUCGACCUCAUGAAGUCGGAGUCGCUAGUAAUCGCAGAUCAGCAACGCUGCGGUGAAUACGUUCCCGGGGCU
RNAcentral lists this ribosomal RNA (479 nucleotides) under uncultured bacterium. RNAcentral describes it as "bacterial SSU rRNA". It matches the Rfam family "Bacterial small subunit ribosomal RNA", at positions 905 to 1381 of the family's 1533-position model. The record is from RNAcentral.